GACGAACGCUAGCGGCGUGCCUAAGCUAUGUAAGUCGAGCGGGGCUUGAGUUGAAUCUUCGGAUGAGGUUCAAGCCUAGCGGCGAACGGGUGAGUAACACGUGAGUAACCUGCCCCGUUGACCGGGAUAACUUCUCGAAAGGGAGGCUAAUACCGGAUAUGAAGCUCCAUCGCAUGGUGGAGCUUGGAAAGGGGAAACCCACAGCGGGAGGGGCUCGCGGCCUAUCAGCUAGUUGGUGAGGUAACGGCCCACCAAGGCGACGACGGGUAGCCGGCCUGAGAGGGUGUUCGGCCACACUGGGACUGAGACACGGCCCAGACUUCUACGGAAGGCAGCAAGCGGGAAUAUUGCACAACGGGCGAAAGCCUGGUGCAGCGACGCCGCGUGAGGGAUGACGGCCUUCGGGUUGUAAACCUCUGUUGGUGGGAACGAAAACUGACGGUAC
This 445-nucleotide ribosomal RNA is filed under the name uncultured bacterium. RNAcentral describes it as "bacterial SSU rRNA". It matches the Rfam family "Bacterial small subunit ribosomal RNA", at positions 28 to 478 of the family's 1533-position model. The record is from RNAcentral.